Belonocnema kinseyi is the source of this 2544-nucleotide long non-coding RNA. RefSeq lists it as uncharacterized. The record is from RefSeq and is a predicted model, not a curated record. NCBI's taxonomy places the organism in Eukaryota, Metazoa, Arthropoda, Insecta, Hymenoptera, Cynipidae. The transcript is spliced from 6 exons.
ACAUACAGUGUAAUAAAUUGAAGUGACUGUCCCCAUUUGGGAAGCCAUAUUGCAUGAUUUGGCAAUAAUAAAACAAUUGUGGAAGGUCUACAUUCAAGCUGUUACCGCAAAGCAGAAAAAAGACUUUACGAAGUACAGAAUCACAACCAACAGACUCUCCUCAUGUAUUUUUCAAAGCAAGAGACACACCCAUGAGGAUGAUGCCUUGCCAGAAUUAUAUUUAUAUUUUUGUUAGGCUCAAGCCAAUGUCUCUGGCUCUGACCGUGCUGUACCUGAAUAGGGAUCCCAGGGUCGAUUCCGAUUCCUCGGAAGAAUCGAUUCCUUGCGCUAGGUUAACGUUCCAUUGUGAAAAUUGUGUCCGGCCAAAUAUGCACUUUAAUAAAAUUCUAAAAGUUGAGUGUGAUGUCUCCGCCAAGCGAAGUGUGGCUGCACUUUAAAAAAGUCGGAAUGAGAGAAAAAGUGCAUUGUUCCCACUGUCUCGUGGAUCUCACUUUUUGCAAUAGCACUUCAUCUAUGACAAAGCACCUACAGAAAGUUCAUCAGGUUAAUUAAUUUCAACAAAACAAAAGAGAAACACCUAUAAAAGGGUAGUACGAGAAAUUGAAUAUUCGCGAUUAUAUGUCCGGCAAAGCCUAACCUCAAAAUUCAAUGCCCUCAUCAUACUGAAUAAGUACCAACUUCGUCAAGCGAAGUGAAGAAGAUGAAAACUCGCAAUAGUACCUGCAAUCUGAGUGCGUCUUUUGAAAAAUAUCUUCCUUUUCUCGUGGAGGUCAGCGUUAUGCUGAUGCAACUGACGCUCUGUUAUAUAUGAUAGUAGCAGAUAAUUAGCCCCUAUCCAUGACUGAGAGAAAGGGAUUUAAAGAAUUUGUCAGAACUUUGCAGCCGCUUUAUAACCCCCCAAGCGCUGAAACUGUCACGGCGAUGAUGGAAAAUAAGUAUGAAGUUCAAAGGUAAAAAUGAAGAGUAUCCUCUCUACAAAAACCAAUAUUAUACUCACAACCGAUUUGUGGAAGGAAUCGAUGACCACACGGGCUUACUUAGGCAUAACUGCUCACUAUUUAGAUGCAUGGAGAUGAAAUCUGUUCAAAUUGGAGCUAGGCCUGUACCCGAAAGAAAGACAAUUGAAAAUCUAGCUAGCAUCCUCAGGGUUCUCUGCUUAGAUUGGGGGCUGGAUAUCGCAAAUGUGAAGGCUAUUGAUACGGAUAAUGGGCCAAACGUUGUUGGAGCGCGUAAUCAAGUGUUAAGUGCUCAGAAACAAAUCUCUUCCUUAGCUCACAAUUUAAAUCUAGCAGUUACGGAUGCGUUAGGUUGAUAUAAAACCAACAACCAGAUGGAUCAAGAAGAAGUUCCGUUGCCCUUGCCUGUCUUUGAAGAUAGCGAAGAUGAAAAGGACCAAAUAAUUCUAGAUGUAGACGUUGAAGAUAGAGGGCGAGACGAUGACUUACCUUCUUUCAAGACAGUCGUCUCGAAAUUAAAGAUGAUUGUAAAAUUCUUUAGAAAAAGUGAACGGGCUUCUGAAAGAUUAAAAUUGCUACAGAUGACUGAGUGGAGGAAAGCUGAGGCAGAGUGCUUGACACUAAUCCAAGAGGUUCGCACCAGAUGGAACUCAGUUUAUCAGAUGCUCGACCCAUUCCUCCUAUUGUGCGAACUCGUAAAGCGAGUUCUUGCGAAAAUAACACGAGAGAAAAAUAGCAAGGAAAAGCCACCACCAAUGAUUACGGGAGAAGAGGAGGAACUUGCAAGGGAGGUUCGGGAUCUUCUAAAACCAGCAUGGCAAGUCACAAAGGAGAUCUGCGGGGAGAAGUCGUAACAUUAAGCAAGGCCAUCCCUAUCUGUUCACUUCUGAGCAAGACUUUAAGAGAGUGCAACGCAGUCCACCCAGUUUCUUUCAAUAUUAAGCACUCAUUACUCGCCGAAAUUGAAAAGCGAUUGGGCUUCAUGGAGAAACUAUCGAUGCCUGCUAAGGCCACCAUCCUCGACCCCUGAUUCAAGAAACUACACUUCACAGAUGCUGGAAAGUUUGCGAGAGCACUGUCAUCUAUUGAUAGGGAGUUAAAGGCGAAAAUUGCGGAGACGGGGGAUGAGGAACGCGCUAGGGACAUGCCACAGGAUCAGCCUGGAGAUAGCCAGGUGAACGACAUCUGGGUUAAUCACGAUGCCUUGCGUUCGCAACAGUUACCCGAGGCGGACACUGAUACUGCUGGAAGCUUAUCUGUAGAGCUCCGACAGUACUUAAAUCGGUCAACCGCUCCUCGCUAUGUGAAUCCAUUCGAAGAAUGGAAUAACAUCAAGCAUGCGUAUCCAAAUUUGUAUAAGGUAGCAUUAGAGUAUUUGCCCAUUCUGGCAACUUUAGUGCCUUCCGAGAGGCUGUUUUCUAAAGCUGGUCAAAUUAUUAACAAGCUCAUAAACAGGCUCUUGAGAAAGCACUUAAACCAGCUAAUAUUUUUAGCGUCGCUGGACUUUGAAAUGUGGAUAUAAAUUUCCAUUUAAUAAUUGAAUUUAAUAAGGUUGCACAUUAAUUUUGAGUUUGAUUGAUUUUCUGUC